UGGAUGAUGUGGUUUAAUUCGAAGCAACGCGAAGAACCUUACCAGGGCUUGACAUCCCUCUGACAGUCCCUUAACCGGGACCUUCUUCGGACAGAGGAGACAGGUGGUGCAUUGGUUGUCGUCAGCUCGUGUCGUGAGAUGUUGGGUUAAGUCCCGCAACGAGCGCAACCCUUGUCUUUAGUUGCCAUCAUUCAGUUGGGCACUCUAGAGAGACUGCCGAGGACAACUCGGAGGAAGGUGGGGAUGACGUCAAAUCAUCAUGCCCCUUAUGUCCUGGGCUACACACGUGCUACAAUGGCUGGUACAAAGAGACGCAAGACCGCGAGGUGGAGCAAAUCUCAAAAACCAGUCCCAGUUCGGAUUGCAGGCUGCAACUCGCCUGCAUGAAGUCGGAGUUGCUAGUAAUCGCAGAUCAGAAUGCUGCGGUGAAUGCGUUCCCGGGUCUU
This 446-nucleotide ribosomal RNA is filed under the name uncultured Eubacteriales bacterium. Its description in RNAcentral is "bacterial SSU rRNA". It matches the Rfam family "Bacterial small subunit ribosomal RNA", at positions 933 to 1382 of the family's 1533-position model. The record is from RNAcentral. Lineage: Bacteria; Bacillati; Bacillota; Clostridia; Eubacteriales.